This 1490-nucleotide ribosomal RNA is filed under the name metagenome. Its description in RNAcentral is "bacterial SSU rRNA". It matches the Rfam family "Bacterial small subunit ribosomal RNA". The record is from RNAcentral.
AGAGUUUGAUCCUGGCUCAGAUUGAACGCUGGCGGCAUGCCUUACACAUGCAAGUCGAACGGUAACGCGGGGGCAACCCUGGCGACGAGUGGCGAACGGGUGAGUAAUACAUCGGAACAUAUCCAGUAGCGGGAUAACCUAUCGAAAGAUGGACUAAUACCGCAUACGAUCUACGGAUGAAAGCAGGGGACCGCAAGGCCUUGCACUAUUGGAGUGGCCGAUGUCGGAUUAGCUAGUUGGUGAGGUAAAGGCUUACCAAGGCGACGAUCCGUAGCUGGUCUGAGAGGACGAUCAGCCACACUGGAACUGAGACACGGUCCAGACUCCUACGGGAGGCAGCAGUGGGGAAUUUUGGACAAUGGGCGCAAGCCUGAUCCAGCCAUGCCGCGUGAGUGAAGAAGGCCUUCGGGUUGUAAAGCUCUUUCGGUGAAGACGAAACGGUUAGCGCUAAUAACGCUGACUAAUGACGGUACUCACAGAAGAAGCACCGGCUAACUACGUGCCAGCAGCCGCGGUAAUACGUAGGGUGCAGGCGUUAAUCGGAAUUACUGGGCGUAAAGCGUGCGCAGGCGGUUUGCUAAGACAGGUGUGAAAUCCCCGAGCUUAACUUGGGAAUUGCGCUUGUAACUGGCAAGCUAGAGUGUGGCAGAGGGGGGUGGAAUUCCACGUGUAGCAGUGAAAUGCGUAGAUAUGUGGAGGAACACCGAUGGCGAAGGCAGCCCCCUGGGUUAACACUGACGCUCAUGCACGAAAGCGUGGGGAGCAAACAGGAUUAGAUACCCUGGUAGUCCACGCCCUAAACUAUGUCAACUAGUUGUCGGGGAAGAAAUUCCUUGGUAACGAAGCUAACGCGUGAAGUUGACCGCCUGGGGAGUACGGCCGCAAGGUUAAAACUCAAAGGAAUUGACGGGGACCCGCACAAGCGGUGGAUUAUGUGGAUUAAUUCGAUGCAACGCGAAAAACCUUACCUACCCUUGACAUGCUAGGAAGCCCGCAGAGAUGUGGGUGUGCCCGAAAGGGAACCUAGACACAGGUGCUGCAUGGCUGUCGUCAGCUCGUGUCGUGAGAUGUUGGGUUAAGUCCCGCAACGAGCGCAACCCUUGCCAUUAGUUGCUACAUUUAGUUGGGCACUCUAAUGGGACCGCCGGUGACAAACCGGAGGAAGGUGGGGAUGACGUCAAGUCCUCAUGGCCCUUAUGGGUAGGCUUCACACGUAAUACAAUGGUCGGUACAGAGGGCUGCCAACCCGCAAGGGGGAGCUAAUCCCAGAAAGCCGAUCGUAGUCCGGAUUGUAGUCUGCAACUCGACUGCAUGAAGCCGGAAUCGCUAGUAAUCGCGGAUCAGCAUGUCGCGGUGAAUACGUUCCCGGGUCUUGUACACACCGCCCGUCACACCAUGGGAGUGGGUUCCACCAGAAGUAGUUAGCCUAACCGCAAGGAGGGCGAUUACCACGGUGAGAUUCAUGACUGGGGUGAAGUCGUAACAAGGUA